Molecule: ribosomal RNA, 253 nt
Filed under: uncultured bacterium
Lineage: Bacteria
Description: partial 16S ribosomal RNA
Rfam family: Bacterial small subunit ribosomal RNA
Source: RNAcentral
UACGUAGGGGGCUAGCGUUGUCCGGAUUUAUUGGGCGUAAAGAGCGUGUAGGCGGCCAGGUAGGUCUGGUGUGAAAACUCGAGGCUUAACCUCGAGAUGUCAUCGGAAACCAUCUGGCUAGAGUCCGGAAGAGGAGAGUGGAAUUCCUGGUGUAGCGGUGAAAUGCGCAGAUAUCAGGAAGAACACCCGUGGCGAAGGCGGCUCUCUGGAACGCAACUGACGCUGAGACGCGAAAGCGUGGGGAGCAAACAGG